This 324-nucleotide unclassified non-coding RNA is filed under the name soil metagenome. RNAcentral describes it as "partial contains 5.8S ribosomal RNA, internal transcribed spacer 2, and large subunit ribosomal RNA". The stretch from base 1 to 120 matches the Rfam family "5.8S ribosomal RNA", at positions 35 to 154 of the family's 154-position model. The record is from RNAcentral.
GAUGAAGAACGUAGCGAAAUGCGAUAAGUAGUGUGAAUUGCAGAAUUCAGUGAAUCAUCGAAUCUUUGAACGCACAUUGCGCCCCUUGGUAUUCCAUGGGGCAUGCCUGUUCGAGCGUCAUUUGUACCUUCAAGCUUUGCUUGGUGUUGGGUGUUUGUCCUGAGGGACUCGCCUUAAAGUAAUUGGCAGCCAGUGUUUUGGUUUUGAAGCGCAGCACAAGUCGCGAUUCAAGGCUAUACGCCAACUUCCACAAGCCUUUUUCACUUUUGACCUCGGAUCAGGUAGGGAUACCCGCUGAACUUAAGCAUAUCAAUAAGCGGAGGA